This 448-nucleotide ribosomal RNA is filed under the name uncultured bacterium. Its description in RNAcentral is "partial 16S ribosomal RNA". It matches the Rfam family "Bacterial small subunit ribosomal RNA", at positions 329 to 794 of the family's 1533-position model. The record is from RNAcentral.
AUCCAGACUCCUACGGGAGGCAGCAGUGGGGAAUAUUGCACAAUGGGGGAAACCCUGAUGCAGCGACGCCGCGUGAGCGAUGAAGUAUUUCGGUAUGUAAAGCCCUAUCAGCAGGGAAGAAAAUGACGGUACCUGACUAAGAAGCCCCGGCUAACUACGUGCCAGCAGCCGCGGUAAUACGUAGGGGGCAAGCGUUAUCCGGAUUUACUGGGUGUAAAGGGGGCGCAGACGGCGAUGCAAGCCAGGAGUGAAAGCCCGGGGCCCAACCCCGGGACUGCUCUUGGAACUGCGUGGCUGGAGUGCAGGAGGGGCAGGCGGAAUUCCUGGUGUAGCGGUGAAAUGCGUAGAUAUCAGGAGGAACACCGGUGGCGAAGGCGGCCUGCUGGACUGUAACUGACACUGAGGCACGAAAGCGUGGGGAGCAAACAGGAUUAGAUACCCCGGUAUU